Molecule: long non-coding RNA, 315 nt
Organism: Dermacentor silvarum
Lineage: Eukaryota; Metazoa; Arthropoda; Arachnida; Ixodida; Ixodidae
Exons: 2
Source: RefSeq, a predicted model, not a curated record
CACUCCCCCGAAGCCAGCGAGGAUGGCUGCGCGCGCGUUUGAGCGCUCGCGCGCGGCGACCCGUCUGUCUCCUUCUUUCUUUUCUUUUUUAAAUGUAACCUGGUUUAUUGGGCUCUCGGCGUAUUCUUGCGUUCCUUCUGCACUGCGACAAGACACCACUGCACUAUUGGACAACGGCAAGCUGGUGCCGUCCGGUGGAGCUUCAUACAGGAACUACUGCCUUACCUGCUGGUGUCACAACGUUGGAUGAACGCACAAAAAGCGCGGAACGAGCUUUUAUAUAGAGCAAAAUAAAUAUUUCCUCAUUGCACAAAA